This is a non-coding RNA of Erinaceus europaeus (western European hedgehog), 311 nucleotides long. The record is from Rfam. NCBI's taxonomy places the organism in Eukaryota, Metazoa, Chordata, Mammalia, Eulipotyphla, Erinaceidae.
GGAUGUGAGGGUGAUCUGGCUGUGACAUCUGUCAACCCAUUGAUCACCGGGGUUGAUUCGGCUAAUCUGGCUGGCUAGGCAAGUGUCCCCUUCCUCCCUCACCGCUCCAUGUACGUCCCUCCUGAAGCUGCACAAAGAGAACCGCCUUCCCCAAAUAGAGGCAGCUCUGUGUUCAGUGGAGAGUACGCGAGUAGCUGCACUCCCCAUGCUAGAACCUCCAAACAAGCUCUCAAAUCAAGAUUUGGAAACUCCCAGGAAUUCACAGACCAUUCUUGGGGAAAUCUAGAGCCUACCAUAGUAUUUUUUUUUAU